Pelobates cultripes (western spadefoot toad) is the source of this 240-nucleotide non-coding RNA. The record is from the annotation of a GenBank genome assembly. NCBI's taxonomy places the organism in Eukaryota, Metazoa, Chordata, Amphibia, Anura, Pelobatidae.
GGCUGGCAGGACAUGAGAAUAAAUAGGAUGGGGAGCACUUUGCAAAUAACCCUUCAGACUCCACAUGCCCUGAACACCCCUUUUAUCUAACCUGAAAUUUAACCUGUCCCAAAUCUAAACAAUUCAUCCCCCCAACCUUGUCACAUUAAGCACUACUCACCCUGUCACUAUCAGUUCCCUCACUCUCUCACACUGUCACUUUCACCACCCCUCAAAGUUCCACGUUCACCUCCACAUGUG